UCCAAUAGCGUAUAUUAAAGUUGUUGUGGUUAAAAAGCUCGUAGUAGAAGCUCGGGCUCCGGCCGACUGGUCCGCCUCACCGCGUGCACUGGUUCGGCCGGGCCUUCACCUUCUGCGGAACCGCAUCUCCUUCACUGGGGGUGUCGGGGAAACAGGACGUUUACUGUGAAAAAAUUAGAGUGCUCCAGGCAGGCCUAUGCUCGAAUAGAUUAGCAUGGAAUAAUGGAAUAGGACGUGUGGUCUUAUUUCGUUGGUUUCUAGGACCGCCGUAAUGAUUAAUAGGGACAGUCGGGGGCAUCAGUAUUCAAUCGUCAGAGGUGAAAUUCUUGGAUCGAUUGAAGACUAACUACUGCGAAAGCAUUUGCCAAGGAUGUUUUCAUUUAUCAGGAACGAAAGUUAGGGGAUCGAAGACGAUCAGAUACCGUCGUAGUCUUAACCAUAAACUAUGCCGACUAGGGAUCGGACGGUGUUAUUUCUUGACCCGUUCGGCGCCUUACGGGAAAC
This 504-nucleotide ribosomal RNA is filed under the name uncultured fungus. RNAcentral's name for it is "SSU rRNA". It matches the Rfam family "Eukaryotic small subunit ribosomal RNA", at positions 590 to 1098 of the family's 1831-position model. The record is from RNAcentral. Lineage: Eukaryota; Fungi.